RNAcentral lists this ribosomal RNA (421 nucleotides) under uncultured eukaryotic phytoplankton. RNAcentral's name for it is "bacterial SSU rRNA". It matches the Rfam family "Bacterial small subunit ribosomal RNA", at positions 358 to 795 of the family's 1533-position model. The record is from RNAcentral.
GGAAUUUUCCGCAAUGGGCGAAAGCCUGACGGAGCAAUACCGCGUGAGGGUUAAGGCCUAUGGGUUGUAAACCUCUUUUUUCAGAGAAGAAUAAAUGACGUUAUCUGAAGAAUAAGCAUCGGCUAACUUCGUGCCAGCAGCCGCGGUAAUACGAGGGAUGCAAGUGUUAUCCGGAAUCACUGGGCGUAAAGCGUUUGAAGGUGGUUUAUUAAGUCGAGUGUUAAAUCUAAAAGCUUAACUUUUAAAUUGCAUUCGAAACUAAUUUACUUGAGUAUAGUAGAGGUAAAGGGAAUUUCCAGUGGAGCGGUUAAAUGCGUAGAUAUUGGAAAGAACAUCAAGUGCGAAGGCACUUUACUUGGUUAUCACUGACACUAAUGAACGAAAGCUAGGGUAGCAAAUGGGAUUAGAUACCCCAGUAGUC